Molecule: non-coding RNA, 135 nt
Organism: Triticum aestivum (bread wheat)
Lineage: Eukaryota; Viridiplantae; Streptophyta; Magnoliopsida; Poales; Poaceae
Source: Rfam
AAACUACUCCCUCUGUCCCAAAUUUCUUGUAUUAGAUUUGUCUAGAUACAGAUGUAUCUAAUACUAAAAUGUGACUUGAUACAUCCGUAUCUAGACAAAUCUAAGACAAGAAUUUUGGGACGGAGGGAGUACUUU